UACUACGGGAGGCAGCAGUAGGGAAUCUUCCGCAAUGGACGAAAGUCUGACGGAGCAACGCCGCGUGAGCGAUGAAGGCCUUCGGGUCGUAAAGCUCUGUUGUCAGGGAAGAACAAGUACCGGAGUAACUGCCGGUACCUUGACGGUACCUGACCAGAAAGCCACGGCUAACUACGUGCCAGCAGCCGCGGUAAUACAUAGGUGGCAAGCGUUGUCCGGAAUUAUUGGGCGUAAAGCGCGCGCAGGCGGUUCCUUAAGUCUGAUGUGAAAGCCCCCGGCUCACCCGGGGAGGGUCAUUGGAAACUGGGGAACUUGAGUGCAAAAGAGGAAAGCGGAAUUCCCCGUGUAGCGGUGAAAUGCGUAAAAAUUUGGAAGAACACCCUUGGCGAAGGGGGCUCCUCUGGUCUUUAACUGACCCUGAGGCCCAAAAGCGUGGGGAGCAAAAAGAAAAAAAUACCCUGGUAGCCCACCCCUAAAACAAAAGGGCUAAGUGUUAAAGGGUUCCCCCCUC
Molecule: ribosomal RNA, 511 nt
Filed under: bacterium A4T_VP6_D1
Lineage: Bacteria
Description: bacterial SSU rRNA
Rfam family: Bacterial small subunit ribosomal RNA
Source: RNAcentral